Molecule: long non-coding RNA, 575 nt
Filed under: Gallus gallus (chicken)
Lineage: Eukaryota; Metazoa; Chordata; Aves; Galliformes; Phasianidae
Description: lncRNA (ENSGALG00010004090.1)
Source: RNAcentral
GUCCCGCAGGCGCUGUGGGCGGCGCUGCUCCCUCUGCUGGCGCUGUCGGCGCCCCACGCGCUGCUCCCGGCUCUGUUGGCCGCUCUGUGGGGCGGAGCCACGUUGGGGGCGGCGCUGCUGCGCUUCACCCCCCGGCUGCCCCACGGAGACUGCGUGGUACGGACCCACGGGGCUCCCGUCCUCCCGUACGCCCAUCCUCCCGGUCCUCCCAGUCCUCCCAGUCCUCCAGUCCUCCCAUCCUCCAGUCCUCCAGUCCUCCCAGUCCUCCCAGUCCUCCAGUCCUCCCAGUCCUCCGGUCCUCUCAGUCCUCCCAGUCCUCCAGUCCUCCCAGUCCUCCGGUCUUCCCAGUCCUCCAGUCCUCCGGUCCUCCCAGUCCUCCGGUCCUCCAGUCCUCCCAGUCCUCCGGUCCUCUCAGUCCUCCCAGUCCUCCAGUCCUCCCAGUCCUCCGGUCUUCCCAUCCUCCCAGUCCUCCGGUCUUCCCAGUCCUCCGGUCCUCCCAGUCCUCCGGUCCUCCAGUCCUCCAGUCCUCCCAGUCCUCCAGUCCUCCCAGUCCUCCAGUCCCCCCCAGAGUCCCC